CGCUUCGGAACAUUUUCCACGUUUCUAUGCGAAGUGCGACGUAGGACUGUUAGUUGAAACUUGUACUACAAUCGCUCUAAUUCUUGAUUAAAUAAUGGCUGAGCAAAAUAUCAUAGACUGCUCAUCAACUGCACAGAGGGAUGAAGAUGACGACGUUGGAAAACUGUUUGUUGGUGGAAUCAGUAGUGAUACAACAGAAGAGUCUUUGAAGGCUUACAUGGAAAAACAUGGGGGAGAAGUAGAGAGUGUGGAGUUGAAAUAUGAUAAAGUGACACAAAGGAUGAGGGGUUUUGGAUUUGUCAAAUUUAGGGAAGAUGCAUCAGCUGAAAAGAUCUUACAAGGUGGUCCUCAUGUAGUAGAUGGCAAAAAGGUAGAUCCAAAAAGAGCAGAGAAACAAGUCAAGCAGCUCGGGGCAAUCCGGACAAAGAAGAUAUUUGUGGGUGGAUUGAAGCAAGAGAUAACGGAAAAAGUUUUACAAGAAUACUUCAGCCAAUUUGGAGAAGUUGUUCAAAUUCAGUUUAUCCCAGAAAAAGGCACUGAGAAAAGACGAGGUUUCUGUUUUGUGGAAUUUGAUAACGAGGAUGUUGUAGACCAACUAGUCAAGAAGCAGUAUCACACUAUUGCCUCAAAAACUGUUGAAGUAAAACAUGCUUAUUCAAAAGAACAACAAGCACAGUUAGCAGCCAAAGGACUUUGGGUACCAGGUGGUAGAGGUCGGGGACGCGGCUCGUAUGGAAUGGGCAUGCCAGGGAGUUAUGGAAUGUAUGAUCAAAGCAUGGGGUACGGGGGAAUGGACGCGUAUGGGUAUGCUGGCUAUGGCAGUGGCGCAAUGAUGGGCUACGGUGGUGCGGUUGGUGCCUACGGAGGAGGAGUCACUUACCCAACUAUUGAUUACUCUGGAUGGUCAGGUCGAGGCACAGAAAACUGGUAUCAUUUCAUGGCAGAGCAACGGGAAGGCCGCGAUGGCCAAUUGCCCUGUGGCUAAUUUGUUAAUCAUUAUCUCAAUAACUUUAAUUUAAUUUUACUGAAAGUAAUAUAUUUUUGCGUUAUAAUGGUUUAGUUUUCUACCAGCUUCCCAGUAAUGGUAAACUGUUUUAUGACCUGAUAAAUUAAAUUGAGCAAUGGUAAAGCCGUAAAGAUUAGUUGCCGUACGAUGGUGCUUUAGAUAAUUCAUGCAAAUGUUAUGUAAUAACCUAUAUAAAGUAAAAAAACCACCGGGGGAUGAAGUGGAAGACCGGAGAAAGACACGUGGAUUCUCCCUCAUUGUGGCAUCUUUGCAAUUAUUUCAAAGUGCAUCGAAUUGAAAAGGUGCUGGCGGUCGGGGUUCCGGAGUUGGACCUAUGUACUCAUAUGGUGCUAGGAACACUUUCCACCCAUACUCAAGAUAAAAAGAAUUUCAAGUUUACUGCGAUGUUUUUUCCAAGCUGGAAGCUGGCAACAGUUUGUAAACAUGGCUCUGGUAUUUUCCUACUGACUCAACAUAACUUUUACAUGAUGGGAAUAGAUCAGUUCUUUCCUCAUAUGAAAUUCUGUAUGGGCAUGGAUGUGUGCUCGCGACCCAAGACGUGCGCUUCCUGAUGAAAUACCCUGCUUUUUUAAAUGGACUUGACUAUUUUAUUUACUAGUUCAAUAAACGUUGUAAAGGGUAAAUUUAACAGUUUUCAGGUUGUUUUCGUCGUAUGUUUUGGUGGUUGCUUUUUUACCUUACAUCAUCUAAAUCCUCUGAUAUCUCAUUCGAAAUAACUAAAAGAAAUAUAGAAUUGAAAAAAUAAGUCAUCUUUAUUUUAUACAUGUACAAUUCAGAGAAACAUCGAGCUUUCUAUGACCCUUUGCAUACAGAUAAUUAAUUUUGCUGUUUUGUAUGGAUGAGCUGCUUGUAAAGUCAUUAACAUGCAGAUAGGUUCGUUUUGCUACUUUGUUUUUCCAGGCUGUUUAUCGUGUGUCGGUAAAGCAUCCCAAACUUCGCUCAGUUUAAUUAAAAAAGAUGUUUACUUGCACGAUGUAUCCUGUCCCGUCUUUCUUGAAUUGAAGAUAACUUAAGUGUUUAAUUUGUAUUUUCGCUUGCCUUGAAGGGUUGCAAAAUUUUUGUUCGAAAACAACGUCGUUAUCAUUUUAAUGUUAACAGGUAAAGUUAUUUGGUUUCCUGUCAUUUGUAUAGCCAGCAUUUUGAUACUUAUUGAAAAGGGAAUUAAAUAUUGUCUUUCUAUUA
Molecule: non-coding RNA, 2209 nt
Organism: Rhopilema esculentum
Lineage: Eukaryota; Metazoa; Cnidaria; Scyphozoa; Rhizostomeae; Rhizostomatidae
Source: RefSeq, a predicted model, not a curated record